UCAACGUGGAUACCCCUGGAGGUCACUCUCCCCGGGCUCCGUCCAGGUGGCAUAGGGGAGCAUAGGGCUCUGCCCUGUGAUGUACAGUCCCUUUCCACGACGUUGGAGAAGAAGCUGGGCCUUGUGUCUGCGCCUGGAUAUUCCUACAACUUCUCAGAGUCCUUUGGGCAGUGACUGAGGAGAUAAACCAUGCAGGAAACAAUG
Small nucleolar RNA from Cavia porcellus (domestic guinea pig), 204 nucleotides. Its record names the gene SNORA73. It matches the Rfam family "Small nucleolar RNA SNORA73 family". Rfam says of the family: U17 (SNORA73A and SNORA73B) also known as E1 belongs to the H/ACA class of small nucleolar RNAs (snoRNAs). Vertebrate U17 is intron-encoded and ranges in length from 200-230 nucleotides, longer than most snoRNAs. The record is from Ensembl. NCBI's taxonomy places the organism in Eukaryota, Metazoa, Chordata, Mammalia, Rodentia, Caviidae.